RNAcentral lists this ribosomal RNA (474 nucleotides) under uncultured bacterium. RNAcentral describes it as "bacterial SSU rRNA". It matches the Rfam family "Bacterial small subunit ribosomal RNA", at positions 328 to 793 of the family's 1533-position model. The record is from RNAcentral.
CUCUGUGACUCCUACGGGAGGCAGCAGUGGGGGAAUAUUGCACAAUGGGCGCAAGCCUGAUGCAGCCAUGCCGCGUGUAUGAAGAAGGCCUUCGGGUUGUAAAGUACUUUCAGCAGUGAGGAAGGCGGGUACGUUAAUAGCGUGCUCGUUUGACGUUAGCUGCAGAAGAAGCACCGGCUAACUCCGUGCCAGCAGCCGCGGUAAUACGGAGGGUGCGAGCGUUAAUCGGAAUUACUGGGCGUAAAGCGCAUGCAGGUGGUUUGUUAAGUCAGAUGUGAAAGCCCCGGGGCUCAACCUCGGAAUUGCAUUUGAAACUGGCAGACUAGAGUACUGUAGAGGGGGUAGAAUUUCAGGUGUAGCGGUGAAAUGCGUAGAGAUCUGAAGGAAUACCGGUGGCGAAGGCGGCCCCCUGGACAGAUACUGACACUCAGAUGCGAAAGCGUGGGGAGCAAACAGGAUUAGAUACCCUGGUAG